GUUUGAAGCUGAGGAUUUUCCGUCUUUAAAUCCUGAAUAUGAGAGAGAACCAAAUCACAAUAAGUCUUUAGCUGCAGGUGUGUGGGGCCUACACGCCCAGACACACACAUACCCAACCAAAAAAAUCUCCCAAGCUCCUCUCUUAGGUAUGUUUCCUUAUUAUUCAGUUUUUCUGGGAACAACUGAUUGCAUAAGAAUAUAGAACCACCUGGAAGGUGUUAAAUAGAAUCUCUAAGAAAUUAGGAAUAAUUUGGAUUUGAUUAGAAUGAAAGUUUUAAAAGUCAAGAAUGCCAGUGAGCGUUUGUCAUAUAAAACUAUCUAUAGAUACUAUUGGUACUGAUCCUGGGUUGAUUUAAUAAUCUUAGAAAUGAUUUAGAGACAAAGACAUAUUUGAAAAUAAUGAGAGUAAAAUGUAUUAAUAUGAAGAUUUUGGUUCUACUGUUUCAGGGUUGGUCUAAGGAUU
Molecule: small RNA, 463 nt
Filed under: Pan troglodytes (chimpanzee)
Lineage: Eukaryota; Metazoa; Chordata; Mammalia; Primates; Hominidae
Description: retained intron
Source: RNAcentral